CUUGUCCCGGAUGGCCCACACUACGCAGGAUGGCAGCACACGCCUAUCUCCCUCUUCGAGGCGCCCCCAAAGCCACGAUGCACAUUGUUUCAAGGAAAGUGUUUGACGAUCACACAAGAAGCAGCACAAUUUGAGAUAAGACAUGUAAGAACAAACUCAAGAAAAAGAAUGCAUAGUG
Molecule: long non-coding RNA, 178 nt
Organism: Ornithodoros turicata
Lineage: Eukaryota; Metazoa; Arthropoda; Arachnida; Ixodida; Argasidae
Exons: 3
Source: RefSeq, a predicted model, not a curated record